UACGGAGGAUCCGAGCGUUAUUCGGAUUUAUUGGGUUUAAAGGGUGCGUAGGCGGUUUGAUAAGUUAGAGGUGAAAUGUCGGGGCUCAACCCCGAGACUGCCUCUAAUACUGUUGGACUAGGGAAUAGUUGCGGUAGGCGGAAUGUAUGGUGUAGCGGUGAAAUGCUUAGAGAUCAUACAGAACACCGAUUGCGAAGGCAGCUUACCAAACUAUAUCUGACGUUGAGGCACGAAAGCGUGGGUAGCAAACAGG
Molecule: ribosomal RNA, 253 nt
Filed under: uncultured bacterium
Lineage: Bacteria
Description: partial 16S ribosomal RNA
Rfam family: Bacterial small subunit ribosomal RNA
Source: RNAcentral